AACGCUAGCUACAGGCUUAACACAUGCAAGUCGAGGGGAAACGACAUCGAAAGCUUGCUUUUGAUGGGCGUCGACCGGCGCACGGGUGAGUAACGUGUAUCCAACCUGCCCACCACUUGGGGAUAACCUUGCGAAAGUAAGACUAAUACCCAAUGAUAUCCCACGAAGGCAUCCGAAUGGGAUUAAAGAUUUAUCGGUGAUGGAUGGGGAUGCGUCUGAUUAGCUUGUUGGCGGGGUAACGGCCCACCAUGCCGACGAUCAGUAGGGGUUCUGAGAGGAAGGUCCCCCACAUUGGAACUGAGACACGGUCCAAACUCCUACGGGAGGCAGCAGUGAGGAAUAUUGGUCAAUGGGCGGAAGCCUGAACCAGCCAAGUAGCGUGAGGGACGACGGCCCUAUGGGUUGUAAACCUCUUUUAUGCGGGGAUAACCGGUGCCACGCGUGGCGCCCUGCAGGUACCGCAUGAAUAAGGACCGGCUAAUUCCGUGCCAGCAGCCGCGGUAAUACGGAAGGUCCAGGCGUUAUCCGGAUUUAUUGGGUUUAAAGGGAGCGUAGGCGGAUUUUUAAGUCAGUUGUGAAAGUUUGAGGCUCAACCUUAAAAUUGCAGUUGAAACUGGAAGUCUUGAGUGCACGCAGAGGUGCCGGAAUUCAUGGUGUAGCGGUGAAAUGCUUAGAUAUCACGAAGAACUCCGAUUG
Molecule: ribosomal RNA, 696 nt
Filed under: uncultured bacterium
Lineage: Bacteria
Description: bacterial SSU rRNA
Rfam family: Bacterial small subunit ribosomal RNA
Source: RNAcentral